This 71-nucleotide transfer RNA is filed under the name Tsunamia transpacifica. RNAcentral's name for it is "tRNA-Gly". It matches the Rfam family "tRNA". Rfam says of the family: Transfer RNA (tRNA) molecules are approximately 80 nucleotides in length. Their secondary structure includes four short double-helical elements and three loops (D, anti-codon, and T loops). Further hydrogen bonds mediate the characteristic L-shaped molecular structure. tRNAs have two regions of fundamental functional importance: the anti-codon, which is responsible for specific mRNA codon recognition, and the 3' end, to which the tRNAs corresponding amino acid is attached (by aminoacyl-tRNA synthetases). tRNAs cope with the degeneracy of the genetic code in two manners: having more than one tRNA (with a specific anti-codon) for a particular amino acid; and 'wobble' base-pairing, i.e. permitting non-standard base-pairing at the 3rd anti-codon position. Lineage: Eukaryota; Rhodophyta; Stylonematophyceae; Stylonematales; Stylonemataceae. The record is from RNAcentral.
GCGGGCAUAGUUUAGUGGUAAAAUAUUAGCCUUCCAAGCUUAGGAUGCGGGUUCGAUUCCCGCUGCCCGCU